This 486-nucleotide long non-coding RNA is filed under the name Ornithorhynchus anatinus (platypus). RNAcentral's name for it is "lncRNA (ENSOANG00000010485.4)". The record is from RNAcentral. Lineage: Eukaryota; Metazoa; Chordata; Mammalia; Monotremata; Ornithorhynchidae.
UUUCAGAUCACGGGGACAACUAUCCCUUUGACGGUCGGGGAAACACCCUUGCUCAUGCGUUUGCCCCGGGGCCAGACCUGGGAGGAGACGCUCACUUCGAUGAAGAUGAAAAGUGGACCGAAGGUUACAAAUCAGGAAUUAACUUGCCCUUUGUGGUCACUCACGAACUCGGCCAUUCUUUGGGACUGGGCCAUUCUUCGAAUCCUAAUGCUGUGAUGUACCCUACCUAUAAUGAAAAUGAGCCAUGGGAUUUCCAGCUGUCCCAGGACGAUAUCAGAGGGAUUCAAAAAUUAUAUGGAAAGAAAAGGAAUGUUUGGGAUGUAUACUACCGAGGAGAAAAUACUCUUUCAUAAGACUAUGUCGCGACUUUCCCAAAAUGUCUCUAAAUUAAAAUGGAAAGGGGAAAACAACAAUUUAAGAUGAAAAUAUAUGGCAAUGAAAAUCAGUUUAUGUAAUGCAGUGCUUCAUUUCCAGGGCUCUACAGCU